Molecule: non-coding RNA, 31 nt
Filed under: Trypanosoma brucei brucei
Lineage: Eukaryota; Euglenozoa; Kinetoplastea; Trypanosomatida; Trypanosomatidae
Source: RNAcentral
AUACAAUAAACGACAUAGAAUAUCAUGUGUA